RNAcentral lists this ribosomal RNA (254 nucleotides) under uncultured bacterium. Its description in RNAcentral is "partial 16S ribosomal RNA". It matches the Rfam family "Bacterial small subunit ribosomal RNA", at positions 524 to 776 of the family's 1533-position model. The record is from RNAcentral.
CACGUAGGGGGCGAGCGUUGUCCGGAUUUAUUGGGCGUAAAGAGCUCGUAGGCGGCUCAGUAAGUCGGGUGUGAAACCCCCGGGCUCAACCCGGGGACGCCACCUGAUACUGCUGUGGCUUGAGUCCGGUAGGGGAGCGUGGAAUUCCUGGUGUAGCGGUGAAAUGCGCAGAUAUCAGGAGGAACACCAGCGGCGAAGGCGGCGCUCUGGACCGGUACUGACGCUGAGGAGCGAAAGCGUGGGGAGCGAACAGG